CUAUCAUGGAAAAUUAUAUUUCCGCUCUGAAUUCGCAGUGGCACCCUGAUUGUUUCGUAUGCAGAGAUUGCAAGUUGCCUGUCCAAGGAAAAUCAUUUUAUGCCGUGGAAGGUAAACCGGUAUGUCCAGGAUGCAUUGGAGCUGAAGAAGAGGAAGACGAAUAAAAUGCCAACUCUUAUGCCCCUUCUCAAAAUAUGCCCUUCACCCUAUAAAAAAAUGCCCCCUUUCUGAAAUGCCCUCUUUCUGAAUUGCCCUUGAAUUUUAUUGUAGAAACUAUAUUUAUAUUUUAAUAAAGGUUGAUAAAAAAAGAAAAUAUAAAACAAAACAAAAUAUCAAAAAAAAAGAGAUCACAAGUAAUCAAAAAAGGCGGGAAAUUCCGAAUACUCUGUGGUGUGGAGUGUAUUUCUCUUCACUCUGAAGCUCGAGGCACGGAUAUUUUCAAAGUAGAAUUUAUUUUUAGAUAGCGUCUGCAUGUAAAUAUUACAUUACACCAGAUUUAUAGUCCUGCAGCUUGUGGUCUCUCUCACCCUGAAACAUAA
Leptinotarsa decemlineata (Colorado potato beetle) is the source of this 539-nucleotide long non-coding RNA. Lineage: Eukaryota; Metazoa; Arthropoda; Insecta; Coleoptera; Chrysomelidae. The record is from RefSeq and is a predicted model, not a curated record.